UUUGUUCCAGGCAUGAGGCCCGGCUUGAAAGAUGAUGUCGUCUACAGUUUCUUCAAUCCAGAGAUUGAUGUGUUGAGGGAUAUGAUAGCAUUGGUUACACCUGACCAUGUGGGGUUGUUCCGUGAGUAUUAUGGUGGUAUUAUGAAGGUGGUUUUCAGGCUCACAGACAGUGAUAGGAGCGCCAUUCAUACUCUUCUCC
RNAcentral lists this long non-coding RNA (199 nucleotides) under Lathyrus oleraceus (garden pea). RNAcentral describes it as "Pisum sativum (pea) long non-coding RNA (PSAT_LNC036013)". Lineage: Eukaryota; Viridiplantae; Streptophyta; Magnoliopsida; Fabales; Fabaceae. The record is from RNAcentral.